GCUCCUUCAACAACAACAGCUAGUCAGACACCUCGGUAGCUUUCUAGCAAACACAGCUACAACAUUCACGCUCUCUACACUGUUUUUGGUGUAUAUUAGUCGCUGUGUAUUAAACACACUUCUGUUCUAUGUACUUGUUGGCCCAUUUAAUUAUAUGUUUACGUUGUUUGUUUGUCAGGUAGCUGGUUUGCUAAGUUAGCUUACAACUUGUCUAGUCGCUAAUGCUUACAUCUCCGACCAUGAGUUCACUAUGCUACUCUCCUCCUGAUAAAGAAGAGGAGGUCUGCUGGACGGAGAAAGAAGCUCUCGUCAAAGACAAUACAAAAACAAGUAGAGGGUGCUGUUACCGUGAAAGAAGAAGAGAAAGACGUUUCAGUGAAAGAAGAGGAAGACGCGUUCAGAGUGAAAGAGGAGGAGGACGUUAUAGUAAAAGAAGAGGAGGAGGGGGAGAUGACUGUCACAUUGGAGGAAGAAGAGGAGGUUGGAGAUCUGUUUAACACCAGAGAGAGACGGGACUAUUGUGGAUCCUCUGGGGAGCCUCAACAACCUCAUGAUGCUGAAGAGGCAGAGAAGAGUCUCCAGAUCAGAACACCUCAACAAACACCCACAGAGACCCACAGGGAAGAGAACUCUCUGCUGCUCUGACUUUGGGAAGAGAUUCACCUCCUCAUCAGGCAUUAAAAUUCAUCAGAGAAUCCACACAAGAGAGAAACCUUAUAUCUGUACUCAAUGUGAGAAGAGUUUUACUACAUCUAGCCAUCUGACAUUACACCAGAGAACACACACAGGAGAGAAACCCUAUAUCUGUGAUCAAUGUGGCAAGAGUUUUGUUCGAUCUGACCAGCUGACAUUACACCAGAGAACACACACAGGAGAGAAACCAUAUAGCUGUAAUGAAUGUGGGAAGAGUUUUGUUCAAUCUGGCAAUCUGACAGUACACCAGAGAACACACACAGGAGAGACAUCUCGAGAUAAUCUGAUAAAAGAUCAAUGAUCAAAUCAUAGAAAAUACAUACAUGAAGGAGUUGUUUCAUGAUAUCAAUGAAUUAAGGUCACAAUGUAGAAUGUUAACACAUUGUAGUAGGAGUAUUUGAAUAAUGUCACAAUGUAGAAGCCUAAACGUUAGCCCCCUGUUCUAUUGAUUUCAACAAUAUAUGGAUAUUAGCCUUAGGGGAAAAAUCCUGAAUUGAAAGAGUACUAUUUAUGUGAUUAAAAAAAAAAAAUUACUAACAAAAAAAGAGUCGUUACACUUACCAUGUUGGUGACCCACUUGAAUCAAAAUGCAGCUGGCUGUUUUCUACAAACAGAUUCCGUGUGGUUUUUGAGCUAUUAGUUUUAACAGAAGGUGCAACCUCAUCUCCCUCGUCUCGCACAAUUGAUUUCAACAUGAUAUUGGUGAGUGAUGACAAAUAUGUGUUGUGUUCCUUUGUUUAGCGACCCUUAAAUGUAAAUGCAUCUCUCCAGAAUGUAGCUGACUGCUUUCUGCAGGUUGUCCUCUAACCAGUGAGGUGGAAGAUAUCUCCCAUUUCCAUGUUUUUUUAGUUGUUAGUUUCAACAGCAAGUACAACCUGAUUCCCCCCUAAUCGAUAUCAGUGAUUUAUUGCUACUUGUCAAAACAGCGUUUUUGGUGCUUGUGUCCAUGGCGAGGACAACUUGGUUUCUGAUUGUCUCAAGGUGGGCAGUCAAAAGUUGUGUGUUUAGCCAGUGAGUUGCCAUGGAUCAUAUUUUGACUGCAUGUUUUUCCGUAUCGGAGAUGAGUUUUGUUUGGGUUUUUUCCAAGUGGACGAGAGUUCUAGAAGCUAUUGGGUAAAAAAUAAAAAUUAUUGUUUUUAAUUGUUGACAGCCAGUAGACACCAUGUUUAUAUUGGUGAAGGUGAAGCAUUGUAGUUGAUUAUAAUGUGAAAUGGAAGUUGUUUUCUGUUGGUGGAAGGCAUUCACUUAAGGUGUUAGUCUUUGGUUUUCCAGUUAUGUUUUGAGGUUUGGAUUUUAGCUGGUGGUUGUUUUAUGCAACAGAAUAGAGGGUUCUUAGAACUAUUGUGUCUGUGUGUUCUACUGAGGAUUGGCCUCUGGGAGAUAACAAUGACAGGAAAUUUACAAUGUCUUUUGGGUGAUUAAACCUAAAGAGACCGCAUUCCAGAGCAUGAGUUAAUGUUUCUGUUCUAUAUGGUACAAAGGAGAGAUGACCCCAGGGCCAGACCCUGGUCUCUACACAAAGAGUACUGUUUUUACAGCAGCUACUGUCUGCUGAGAAUUAUAAUUAUCUUUCAUACAAAUCAUAAUCUUGUGACCUGUUCUAUACAUCUGUUGUUCAUCAUGUAGGUUGAAUGGGGUUUAUCUUGGCUGUAAAAUACCUUUGUACUUGUCUCGGGGCUCUCAACGAAUCAUAUGGGGGUUGAUUCGUCGACCAGCCAUCAUUAUCGUAGAGCACUCAAUUGAUUCACUUUAUAUGUGUGUGUGUUGUGAAUAAAUAUUUAGUUUAAGAAUAA
Molecule: long non-coding RNA, 2486 nt
Organism: Oncorhynchus keta (chum salmon)
Lineage: Eukaryota; Metazoa; Chordata; Actinopteri; Salmoniformes; Salmonidae
Exons: 2
Source: RefSeq, a predicted model, not a curated record